GUCUACGGCCAUACCACCCUGAACGCGCCCAAUCUCGUCUGAUCUCAGAAACUAAGCAGGGUCAGGCCUGGUUAGUACUUGGAUGGGAGGAAUGACUGGAGAGAGA
RNAcentral lists this ribosomal RNA (106 nucleotides) under Felis catus (domestic cat). Lineage: Eukaryota; Metazoa; Chordata; Mammalia; Carnivora; Felidae. The record is from RNAcentral.